UGAAUUGUUUUUAAAGAAAGAACAGACUCUGGAGCCAGACUGCCCAGUUAUUGGGAGUUUAAAAAUGGAGGGCUUAGUAAGUCCAUUAAUAUAGAUAUUGUCAUUUGCCCCUUCUGUGCAUGUCUCUCUGUUCCUGUCCCAUGGCCUUAAUCAAACAUCUGGACUUUAUUUCUCAACCUAUUCAUAGAGAUGAAGUACUGAAACAGAAAAAAAGGAAUCAGUGUUGAUCAGACUUUCAUUUCAAAUGAACCACUAAUCAAAUUUAUUAUAAUUACAUACUUUAUUGAAUU
RNAcentral lists this long non-coding RNA (290 nucleotides) under Homo sapiens (human). RNAcentral's name for it is "non-protein coding lnc-NDFIP2-19:1". The record is from RNAcentral. Lineage: Eukaryota; Metazoa; Chordata; Mammalia; Primates; Hominidae.